Molecule: transfer RNA, 72 nt
Filed under: Ictidomys tridecemlineatus (thirteen-lined ground squirrel)
Lineage: Eukaryota; Metazoa; Chordata; Mammalia; Rodentia; Sciuridae
Description: Spermophilus tridecemlineatus (thirteen-lined ground squirrel) tRNA
Rfam family: tRNA
About the family: Transfer RNA (tRNA) molecules are approximately 80 nucleotides in length.
Source: Rfam by way of RNAcentral
UGAGAUGUGGCUCAGUGGUAGAGUGCUUGCCUAGCAUGCAUGCGGCACUGGGUUUAACCCUUAGCACCAUAU